ACAGAGGGGGCAAGCGUUGUUCGGAAUUACUGGGCGUAAAGGGCGCGUAGGCUGUGCAGUACGGCUCGGGUGAAAUCCCUCGGCCCAACCGAGGAACCGCCCGGGCGACGGCUGCGCUGGACUGCAUCAGGGGCGGAUGGAACUCCCGGUGGAGCGGUGAAAUGCGUAGAUAUCGGGAGGAACGCCGGUGGCGAAAGCGCUCAUCUGGCCCAAUACUGACGCUGAGGCGCGAAAGCUAGGGGAGCAAACGGGA
Molecule: ribosomal RNA, 253 nt
Filed under: uncultured prokaryote
Description: partial 16S ribosomal RNA
Rfam family: Bacterial small subunit ribosomal RNA
Source: RNAcentral